CGAAUACGAGACGCUACGGCGUCGAAGUAGUGUAUGUCACACUUCCAAGAAAAGCUUGCACUGUCAUAAAUAAAAACUGCCUGUACCAUAACCGACACAGGUGGGUAGGUAGAGUAUACUAAGGGGCGCGAGAUAACUCUCUCUAAGGAACUCGGCAAAAUAACUCCGUAACUUCGGGAGAGGGAGUGCCUUGUUUACAUAAGGUUGCAAUAACAAGAUCCAAGCAACUGUUUACCAAAAACACAGGUCUCCGCUAAGUCGUAAGACGAUGUAUGGGGGCUGACUCCUGCCCAGUGCCAGAAGGUUAAAGAAGUUGGUUAGCAUCUGCGAAGCUGAUAACUGAAGCCCUGGUGAACGGCGGCCGUAACGAUAACGGUCCUAAGGUAGCGAAAUUCCUUGUCGGGUAAGUUCCGACCCGCACGAAAGGCGUAAUGAUUUGGAUACUGUCUCGGAGAGGGGCUCGGUGAAAUAGACUUGUCUGUGAAGAUGCGGACUACCUGCACCUGGACAGAAAGACCCUAUGAAGCUUUACUGUAACUUGAAAUUGAAAUUGGACUUUAUUCGCGCAGCAUAGGUGGGAGGCUUUGAAGAUACUCUUGCGGGAGUAUUCGAGCUAUCAGUGAGAUACCACUCUUAUAAUGUUAGAUUUCUAACUUUGAACCAUUAUCUGGUCAAAGAACAGUUUCAGGCGGGCAGUUUGACUGGGGCGGUCGCCUCCUAAACGGUAACGGAGGCGUACAAAGGUUUCCUCUGAACGGAUAGAAAUCGUAUCUAGAGUAUAAAGGCAUAAGGAAGCUUGACUGUGAGACCUACAAGUCGAGCAGGGACGAAAGUCGGUCUUAGUGAUCUGACGGUACUGAGUGGAAAGGCCGUCACUCAACGGAUAAAAGUUACUCUAAGGAUAACAGGCUGAUCUCCCCCAAGAGUUCACAUCGACGGGGAGGUUUGGCACCUCGAUGUCGGCUCAUCGCAUCCUGGGGCGGUAGUACGUCCCAAGGGUUGGGCUGUUCGCCCAUGAAAGCGGUACGCGAGCUGGGUUCAGAACGUCGUGAGACAGUUCGGUCCAUAUCCGGUGUAGGCGUUAGAAUAUUGAGAGGAGCCUUCUCUAGUACGAGAGGACCGAGAAGGACAUACCUCUGGUGUACCAGUUAUCGUGCCAACGGUAAACGCUGGGUAGCUAUGUAUGGAGUGGAUAACCGCUGAAAGCAUCUAAGUGGGAAGCCCACCUCAAGAUAAG
RNAcentral lists this ribosomal RNA (1237 nucleotides) under metagenome. RNAcentral's name for it is "bacterial LSU rRNA". It matches the Rfam family "Bacterial large subunit ribosomal RNA", at positions 1564 to 2808 of the family's 2925-position model. The record is from RNAcentral.